RNAcentral lists this ribosomal RNA (432 nucleotides) under uncultured bacterium. Its description in RNAcentral is "bacterial SSU rRNA". It matches the Rfam family "Bacterial small subunit ribosomal RNA", at positions 29 to 507 of the family's 1533-position model. The record is from RNAcentral.
AACGAACGCUGGCGGCAUGCCUAACACAUGCAAGUCGAACGAUGCCUUCGGGCAUAGUGGCGCACGGGUGCGUAACGCGUGGGAAUCUGCCCUUGGGUUCGGAAUAACUCAGAGAAAUUUGAGCUAAUACCGGAUGAUGACGUAAGUCCAAAGAUUUAUCGCCCAAGGAUGAGCCCGCGUAAGAUUAGCUAGUUGGUGGGGUAAAGGCCUACCAAGGCGACGAUCUUUAGCUGGUCUGAGAGGAUGAUCAGCCACACUGGGACUGAGACACGGCCCAGACUCCUACGGGAGGCAGCAGUGGGGAAUAUUGGACAAUGGGCGAAAGCCUGAUCCAGCAAUGCCGCGUGAGUGAUGAAGGCCUUAGGGUUGUAAAGCUCUUUUACCAGGGAUGAUAAUGACAGUACCUGGAGAUAAGCUCCGGCUAACUCCGUG